AUGAACGCUGGCGGCGUGCCUCAUACAUGCAAGUCGAGCGAACAGACGAGGAGCUUGCUCCUCUGACGUUAGCGGCGGACGGGUGAGUAACACGUGGAUAACCUACCUAUAAGACUGGGAUAACUUCGGGAAACCGGAGCUAAUACCGGAUAAUAUAUUGAACCGCAUGGUUCAAUAGUGAAAGACGGUUUUGCUGUCACUUAUAGAUGGAUCCGCGCCGCAUUAGCUAGUUGGUAAGGUAACGGCUUACCAAGGCAACGAUGCGUAGCCGACCUGAGAGGGUGAUCGGCCACACUGGAACUGAGACACGGUCCAGACUCCUACGGGAGGCAGCAGUAGGGAAUCUUCCGCAAUGGGCGAAAGCCUGACGGAGCAACGCCGCGUGAGUGAUGAAGGUCUUCGGAUCGUAAAACUCUGUUAUUAGGGAAGAACAAAUGUGUAAGUAACUACGCACGUCUUGACGGUACCUAAUCAGAAAGCCACGGCUAACUACGUG
Molecule: ribosomal RNA, 496 nt
Filed under: uncultured bacterium
Lineage: Bacteria
Description: partial 16S ribosomal RNA
Rfam family: Bacterial small subunit ribosomal RNA
Source: RNAcentral